UGGGGAAUAUUGGACAAUGGGCGCAAGCCUGAUCCAGCCAUGCCGCGUGAGUGAUGAAGGCCCUAGGGUUGUAAAGCUCUUUCACCGGUGAAGAUAAUGACGGUAACCGGAGAAGAAGCCCCGGCUAACUUCGUGCCAGCAGCCGCGGUAAUACGAAGGGGGCUAGCGUUGUUCGGAUUUACUGGGCGUAAAGCGCACGUAGGCGGACUUUUAAGUCAGGGGUGAAAUCCCGGGGCUCAACCCCGGAACUGCCUUUGAUACUGGAAGUCUUGAGUAUGGUAGAGGUGGGUGGAAUUCCGGGUGUAGAGGUGAAAUUCGUAGAUAUUCGGAGGAACACCAGUGGCGAAGGCGGCUCACUGGACCAUUACUGACGCUGAGGUGCGAAAGCGUGGGGAGCAAACAGG
RNAcentral lists this ribosomal RNA (404 nucleotides) under Actinomycetes bacterium. RNAcentral's name for it is "Actinobacteria bacterium partial 16S ribosomal RNA". It matches the Rfam family "Bacterial small subunit ribosomal RNA", at positions 355 to 776 of the family's 1533-position model. Lineage: Bacteria; Bacillati; Actinomycetota; Actinomycetes. The record is from RNAcentral.